RNAcentral lists this ribosomal RNA (426 nucleotides) under uncultured bacterium. RNAcentral's name for it is "partial 16S ribosomal RNA". It matches the Rfam family "Bacterial small subunit ribosomal RNA", at positions 354 to 796 of the family's 1533-position model. The record is from RNAcentral.
GUGAGGAAUUUUCCGCAAUGGGCGAAAGCCUGACGGAGCAAUGCCGCGUGAAGGAUGAAGGCCUAUGGGUUGUAAACUUCUUUUCUCAGAAAAGAAUUAUGACGGUAUCUGAGGAAUAAGCAUCGGCUAACUCUGUGCCAGCAGCCGCGGUAAGACAGAGGAUGCAAGCGUUAUCCGGAAUGAUUGGGCGUAAAGCGUCUGUAGGUUGUAUAAAAAGUAUUCUGUCAAAGAUUAGGGCUUAACCCUAGAUAGGCAGAAUAAACUUUUAAGCUAGAGUUUGGUAGAGGCAGAGGGAAUUCCCGGUGGAGCGGUGAAAUGCGUAGAUAUCGGAAAGAUCACCAAAGGCGAAGGCACUCUGCUGGGCCAAUACUAACACUGAGAGACGAAAGCGAGGGGAGCAAAUGGGAUUAGAAACCCUUGUAGUCC